ACUGUUAUGCUGCCCUUGGGAGACUCAAACAGCAUAGCAAAUAUAUACGACCGAUGUAAUUGCGUUCGAUCCUGGAGGUCACUGAGGACUUGGUGAGCUGGGACAGAAUACAGGGAAGAAAUAGAUUCCAUCUUUAAAAUCAUCCUUCUCGAUUUCCACUUGCUUUUCUGUGGGAAAUUACCCUACUCCGUGUGCCUUGUUUUAACCUUUACAAUACAUGAAUACACAAAUGAAGGGAUGGUUGAGUGGUAUCACAUUAGGCCCAAAUGCUGCCUGUAUUAGUGAUGCAGUAAGAGUCUAACAUAGAAAGCAGCGAUGCCAACUAGCAUCGCUGAAACUUAAGACCUUCUUCCCUUCGUUGGUAUUGACGUCUAUUGUUAUUGCUAUCAUUAUUAUCAUCGUUAUUGUAAAGCAAUAAGGAGAACCUGGUGAGUAGCUUUGGUUAUCACUGAGGCCUGUUUCAGUGAUACACUUUUGAAUACUUCCUGCAUAUAAGGAUUUUAUUUCUCAGACUUUAGUAUCUUUGGAAUUGUUUUUAUUGAGGAACAACAAGAAAGAGUUAAUAAAGAUGGGUAUUAUCUACUAUUUAAAAAAAGAUAUUGGUCAAGAGAGUCCGAAGUAGCCUCAGUGUCCAGCUCCAGCCAUGUCAGAAGGGGCAGAGCCCAACAGUGUUCAUUUCUUAUUACAGGGUGCUUAGUGCAGGGUGCUUAGUACAGGGUGCUUAUUACAGGGUGCUUAGUACAGGGUGCUUAUUAUAGGGUGUUUAGUACAGGGUGCUUAGUACAGGGUGCUUAGUACAGGGUGCUUAGUACAGGGUGCUUAAUACAGGGUGCUUAGUACAGGGUGCUUUGUACAGGGUUUCUUAGACAAGGUAGACAGCCUAAGAAACAUGAUCGUCAGAGGAGUGCUUUGUUUAGUUUGUUUGCGACUGGAGCCUCAUUCCCCAACUCCUACAAAUGCCAGUUGCAGCAUUUUCUGUGGAAUAAGGAGGAUUCACGAGCUGUGUACCACCAUGAGAUGAUAGCAUGUGAUGCAGCGUAUAAAAUGAAAUGUGGGUCCUUCUCAGGAGCUGACGGCUGUUCAAGUGCACACAUCAGUCCCCCCAUCUGUUUGUCUCUCUCUCAUAGACACACAACAAUUGAGAAGUGCAGAUUGAUGGACGGGAUUCUAUCCUUGUCACCACUUCAUCUUUAAAAUAUGUUUCCUCUUUAAAGGGGGACUGUAAAAGACAGUCAGAGAAAUUGGCUUGGGGGAUGGGAUUCGGCCCACUGCUAUUUUUUCCUUAUCACUAAAACCUUAAGCAGAGAGCAUAAUCACCUAUCUCCCCCAGGGCAGCCCUAAGCCCUGAAAACUCAGCUCUGUUUAGGGAUUUAAUAGAACUGGAAAGAAGAAAUAAGCAAGAUCUGCUCCAGCACACCAACAAAGGAAACAUUUUCACAAAUAUUAGACAGAGAGGAGUUCUCAGCACACACCUCGCCCUCCCUCUCUCCAGAAGCAGCUAGAGCACAGCUCUGAAUUCAGCAUCCUAUCACUCUCAGCAUCUUGGGGGUCUUUGGAUCAUGUCUGAGGCUCCAGAACAGCUGGGUGCAUUUUCUUAACAAAGCAAGAUGUAACUGGCGUGAAUCAAAGCCUCCUUUGGUCGAGGUUGUCACAGUGUUCAUUGAAGGACUUCAUUGUCUGUUAGGUUGGAGUCACAGAGAUAUUGACUUCCCCCCAGUUGCUUCUAAAUAGCUUGGAAUUUCUUUUGUUAAGGUUUUUAGAUGAAAAUAUCUUGGUGUUAUGCUGUGCAAUGUGACUUUUCUUUCUUGAUGCCUAAAGCAAAGGAUAUUAGGUUGCCUUUCUUCUGUCUUACUUUGCUGAGAAAAUGUAUCCAAAGUCCCCAUGAUGCCUACAUACACACACCACAGCACAUACAGACACACACCAUACACACACAACACAUGCAUGUAACACACACUCAUGCACACAUACAACACACAUACAGCACAUGCACACACAAUACACAAUAUACAUACACAACAUGACCAAUACACAAACACUUCACUCAGAAUAACUGUUUUCAAUAUAUGGAUACAAGGUGGGUAUGAGAGUGAUUUUCAGAGAAAAUUAGAAACAAAGAAAUGCAUCAAAGAGUAUUUUAAAAAUUCCUGUAAAAGAUAAUACAAAACCAAACAAAGUCACACUGACUUACAGAAACUAGGAACAGAACAAUGUUAGGAAAGCUAGUGAUAGGAAACUUCUAGGCUGGUCCAGGCUUCUACCACAGUGGUUCUCUUGGGCUAAUCACCCAUGUCCCCAGCAACCCGGUUGGAUCUGGCUCGUGAGUAUUCUGCCUGCUGAAUUAGUCUUGUCACACAGAAGUCAGCUGUAGUAUCACUUCCUGGCCAGACCUCAAUGGCUGCUUAAAAGAGCAGACACAUGGCUGAGCCACCCUAAUUCCUGAAUCCUUUAGCUCUUAUAGCUUUUAUUUUCUUCAUAACUUUUACCAUGAAGUUUAUUUUACCAUUAUCUGAACUCCUGGUUUCUGUGUCUUUUCUCUUUCCCACUGACACCCUAAACUCCAUGAGACCAGAGGCCAUGAUAGCCUUGUUUACAACAAGCAUCCAAGGCCCUUAAAGUCCUGGAGCUACACUGUAGCUAUCUGUGAAAUCAAUUGCCAGAUUGUUGGGUUUUAACCUGUAGUUAUCAUAUCUAGCUUCUAGAGAUGGGAAUAGAAGAAAAUGGGGAGACAAGAUUAUGCCAAGGUCCUAUAUAUUAAAUUGUGCAUUUAACAUAGAUGUACCUAGGAUAGAGGGUAGGAGGGAGAGUGUGUUAAUGUGAUUAAAAACAGGAUCCCAUUGAAAGAUUCAGAGGUAAUAUCUUAAAAUUUUUACCAGGUUCAAGUUCUUGUCUUGUCUCUUAUGAGAGGACAAUGUUGGUGUAAGGAUCAGGGAAAGGUGUGGGCAUUGAAUGAUUAUGUGUUGGGGCCUCAGCCCAAAUAUCUCAUUGGACGGAGCUUACAGCUUAGUAUAAGGAAGGAACAUGACAAAUGUGACUGGCAAUGCAUAGCACCUUGCUCCUUAGUUGAAGACAUAUCUGGGUUAAUUAAAGGAAAGCAAAUCUGAGAAGCACUCUGGAAAGUGAGAGCCACAAGAAAAAGUCUAUCCUCAGACUUCUCAGAACUCCCUUUGCACCCUUUGGCACAGCAGCUCCGCCCAUCAGUCUUCCUGGCUCCGCCCAGGUCCUACUUUUCACUAGUUUGUGUGCAAUGCUGAGAGUGAGGCUUUGGUGCCUUAGAGCAACCGCAGUCCUUCAAUCACUGAGGGUCAAGAACUUUAGAGAAAAUGCUCCACUAAAAUCCUUUAGUGGAGAGUCCCAUUCUGCUUGAGAAUGGAAACACUGGGUGGAGUGUUGUUUGUUGGUCAGUGUUAAGGACCUGGAUUAGAGCCUCAGCACUGAAGAAGAAAAGGAAGGAGUGAUGGAAGAAUGAAAGGAAGGGGAGGGGAGGGAAGUGAAAAAGGAAAGGAAAGG
RNAcentral lists this long non-coding RNA (3510 nucleotides) under Mus musculus (house mouse). RNAcentral describes it as "long non-coding RNA chr9:13308936-13312446". The record is from RNAcentral. Lineage: Eukaryota; Metazoa; Chordata; Mammalia; Rodentia; Muridae.